Molecule: ribosomal RNA, 1408 nt
Filed under: Klebsiella pneumoniae
Lineage: Bacteria; Pseudomonadati; Pseudomonadota; Gammaproteobacteria; Enterobacterales; Enterobacteriaceae
Description: bacterial SSU rRNA
Rfam family: Bacterial small subunit ribosomal RNA
Source: RNAcentral
UGCAGUCGAGCGGUAGCACAGAGAGCUUGCUCUCGGGUGACGAGCGGCGGACGGGUGAGUAAUGUCUGGGAAACUGCCUGAUGGAGGGGGAUAACUACUGGAAACGGUAGCUAAUACCGCAUAACGUCGCAAGACCAAAGUGGGGGACCUUCGGGCCUCAUGCCAUCAGAUGUGCCCAGAUGGGAUUAGCUAGUAGGUGGGGUAACGGCUCACCUAGGCGACGAUCCCUAGCUGGUCUGAGAGGAUGACCAGCCACACUGGAACUGAGACACGGUCCAGACUCCUACGGGAGGCAGCAGUGGGGAAUAUUGCACAAUGGGCGCAAGCCUGAUGCAGCCAUGCCGCGUGUGUGAAGAAGGCCUUCGGGUUGUAAAGCACUUUCAGCGGGGAGGAAGGCGUUAAGGUUAAUAACCUUGUCGAUUGACGUUACCCGCAGAAGAAGCACCGGCUAACUCCGUGCCAGCAGCCGCGGUAAUACGGAGGGUGCAAGCGUUAAUCGGAAUUACUGGGCGUAAAGCGCACGCAGGCGGUCUGUCAAGUCGGAUGUGAAAUCCCCGGGCUCAACCUGGGAACUGCAUUCGAAACUGGCAGGCUAGAGUCUUGUAGAGGGGGGUAGAAUUCCAGGUGUAGCGGUGAAAUGCGUAGAGAUCUGGAGGAAUACCGGUGGCGAAGGCGGCCCCCUGGACAAAGACUGACGCUCAGGUGCGAAAGCGUGGGGAGCAAACAGGAUUAGAUACCCUGGUAGUCCACGCCGUAAACGAUGUCGAUUUGGAGGUUGUGCCCUUGAGGCGUGGCUUCCGGAGCUAACGCGUUAAAUCGACCGCCUGGGGAGUACGGCCGCAAGGUUAAAACUCAAAUGAAUUGACGGGGGCCCGCACAAGCGGUGGAGCAUGUGGUUUAAUUCGAUGCAACGCGAAGAACCUUACCUGGUCUUGACAUCCACAGAACUUUCCAGAGAUGGAUUGGUGCCUUCGGGAACUGUGAGACAGGUGCUGCAUGGCUGUCGUCAGCUCGUGUUGUGAAAUGUUGGGUUAAGUCCCGCAACGAGCGCAACCCUUAUCCUUUGUUGCCAGCGGUCCGGCCGGGAACUCAAAGGAGACUGCCAGUGAUAAACUGGAGGAAGGUGGGGAUGACGUCAAGUCAUCAUGGCCCUUACGACCAGGGCUACACACGUGCUACAAUGGCAUAUACAAAGAGAAGCGACCUCGCGAGAGCAAGCGGACCUCAUAAAGUAUGUCGUAGUCCGGAUUGGAGUCUGCAACUCGACUCCAUGAAGUCGGAAUCGCUAGUAAUCGUAGAUCAGAAUGCUACGGUGAAUACGUUCCCGGGCCUUGUACACACCGCCCGUCACACCAUGGGAGUGGGUUGCAAAAGAAGUAGGUAGCUUAACCUUCGGGAGGGCGCUACC